This is a non-coding RNA of Microcebus murinus (gray mouse lemur), 492 nucleotides long. Lineage: Eukaryota; Metazoa; Chordata; Mammalia; Primates; Cheirogaleidae. The record is from RefSeq and is a predicted model, not a curated record.
CCGCGGUGUGAAGGCCCUGGCAGGGAACCUCUGGGGAAUGUGCAGCGACAGAAAGCUGGCUUUGGACUCCUGCCAUGCCCAGGGGACACCACCCUCAAACAACCACAUCAGUCAAAUAGGACCCUACUUCAACUCCUUCCCUCUGGCACGUAGCCCUGGAAGGAUCCAAAGCAGUAGGGUGACCAAGGAAGCUGUGAAGCCUACCUAAUAUUUUGUCCUGGGCAGAAGAAGGUGUUUUUCAACAGAGAGCAGGGUGACUAAAAAGGUUUGGAAGACUACAAAGAUCUCUUCUGCUUGCACCAUUUGAGUCCAGCUCAAACAACAGGCCACGUACACAGGGACUUCAAACUCAGAAAUCACGUCUGAAGCAGAAAUGACAAAGGAAGCUUAACACAAAGGCCGAUUUUCAUCCUCCCUCAUGUGGUGCCACUUGCGAAACAGAAAGAAGGAUCUGGAAAUGAGCUUUCUUCUGUGGGGUGGGUUGUGCUUUGA